AUUGAACGCUGGCGGCAGGCCUAACACAUGCAAGUCGAACGGUAACAGGAAGAAGCUUGCUUCUUUGCUGACGAGUGGCGGACGGGUGAGUAAUGUCUGGGAAACUGCCUGAUGGAGGGGGAUAACUACUGGAAACGGUAGCUAGUACCGCAUAAUGUCGCAAGACCAAAGAGGGGGACCUUCGGGCCUCUUGCCAUCGGAUGUGCCCAGAUGGGAUUAGCUAGUAGGUGGGGUAACGGCUCACCUAGGCGACGAUCCCUAGCUGGUCUGAGAGGAUGACCAGCCACACUGGAACUGAGACACGGUCCAGACUCCUACGGGAGGCAGCAGUGGGGAAUAUUGCACAAUGGGCGCAAGCCUGAUGCAGCUAUGCCGCGUGUAUGAAGAAGGCCUUCGGGUUGUAAAGUACUUUCAGCGGGGAGGAAGGGAGUAAAGUUAAUACCUUUGCUCAUUGACGUUACCCGCAGAAGAAGCACCGGCUAACUCCGUG
Molecule: ribosomal RNA, 490 nt
Filed under: uncultured bacterium
Lineage: Bacteria
Description: partial 16S ribosomal RNA
Rfam family: Bacterial small subunit ribosomal RNA
Source: RNAcentral